AGUGAACGCUGGCGGUAGGCCUAACACAUGCAAGUCGAACGGCAGCACAGUAAGAGCUUGCUCUUACGGGUGGCGAGUGGCGGACGGGUGAGGAAUACAUCGGAAACUACUUUUUCGUGGGGGAUAACGUAGGGAAACUUAUGCUAAUACCGCAUACGACCUACGGGUUAAAGCAGGGGAUCUUCGGACCUUGCGCGAUUGAAUGAGCCGAUGUCGGAUUAGCUAGUUGGCGGGGUAAAGGCCCACCAAGGCGACGAUCCGUAGCUGGUCUGAGAGGAUGAUCAGCAACACUGGAACUGAGACACGGUCCAGACUCCUACGGGAGGCAGCAGUGGGGAAUAUUGGACAAUGGGCGCAAGCCUGAUCCAGCCAUACCGCGUGGGUGAAGAAGGCCUUCGGGUUGUAAAGCCCUUUUGUUGGGAAAGAAAAGCAGCAGGUUAAUACCCCGCUGUUCUGACGGUACCCAAAGAAUAAGCACCGGCUAACUUCGUG
RNAcentral lists this ribosomal RNA (492 nucleotides) under uncultured bacterium. Its description in RNAcentral is "partial 16S ribosomal RNA". It matches the Rfam family "Bacterial small subunit ribosomal RNA", at positions 29 to 507 of the family's 1533-position model. The record is from RNAcentral.